This 1625-nucleotide ribosomal RNA is filed under the name freshwater metagenome. Its description in RNAcentral is "bacterial LSU rRNA". It matches the Rfam family "Bacterial large subunit ribosomal RNA", at positions 1321 to 2925 of the family's 2925-position model. The record is from RNAcentral.
GUGAAAAACCCGUUCGCUGAAAGACCAAGGGUUCCAGUCCAACGUUAAUCGGGGCUGGGUGAGUCGACCCCUAAGGCGAGGCCGAGAGGCGUAGUCGAUGGGAAAUUGGUUAAUAUUCCAAUACUUCAGUGUAAUGCGAUGAGAGGACGGAGAAGGUUAAGUCAGCCUGGCGUUGGUAGUCCAGGUGAAAGGAAGUAGGCAUGCAUCUUAGGCAAAUCCGGGGUGCUCUAUGCUGAGAUCUGAUAUCAAGCUGUACUUGUACAGUGAAGUGGCUGAUACCCUGCUUCCAGGAAAAGUCUCUAAGCUUCAGUUACACUGGAAUCGUACCCGAAACCGACACAGGUGGUCAGGUCGAGUAGACCAAAGCGCUUGAGAGAACUCUGCUGAAGGAACUAGGCAAAAUGGUACCGUAACUUCGGGAGAAGGUACGCUGUUGAUGGUGAUAGGACUUGCUCCUUGAGCUGUCGACAGCCUCAGAAACCAGGCCGCUGCAACUGUUUAUUAAAAACAUAGCACUCUGCAAACACGAAAGUGGACGUAUAGGGUGUGAUGCCUGCCCGGUGCUGGAAGGUUAAUUGAUGGGGUUAGCGUAAGCGAAGCUCUUGAUCGAAGCCCCAGUAAACGGCGGCCGUAACUAUAACGGUCCUAAGGUAGCGAAAUUCCUUGUCGGGUAAGUUCCGACCUGCACGAAUGGCAUAAUGAUGGCGGCGCUGUCUCCAGCAGAGGCUCAGUGAAAUCGAAAUCGCUGUGAAGAUGCAGUGUACCCGCGGCUAGACGGAAAGACCCCGUGAACCUUUACUGCAGCUUGACAUUGAACUUUGACCUUACUUGUGUAGGAUAGGUGGGAGGCUUUGAAGUUGGAACGCCAGUUCCAAUGGAGCCGUCCUUGAAAUACCACCCUGGUAAUGUUGAGGUUCUAACUCUGUCCCGUUAUCCGGGACGAGGACCAUGUCUGGUGGGUAGUUUGACUGGGGCGGUCUCCUCCUAAAGAGUAACGGAGGAGUACGAAGGUGCGCUCAGCGUGGUCGGAAAUCACGCGUAGAGUAUAAAGGCAAAAGCGCGCUUAACUGCGAGACCCACAAGUCGAGCAGGUACGAAAGUAGGUCUUAGUGAUCCGGUGGUUCUGUAUGGAAGGGCCAUCGCUCAACGGAUAAAAGGUACUCUGGGGAUAACAGGCUGAUACCGCCCAAGAGUUCAUAUCGACGGCGGUGUUUGGCACCUCGAUGUCGGCUCAUCUCAUCCUGGGGCUGAAGCAGGUCCCAAGGGUAUGGCUGUUCGCCAUUUAAAGAGGUACGCGAGCUGGGUUUAGAACGUCGUGAGACAGUUCGGUCCCUAUCUACCGUGGGCGCUGGAAAUUUGAGAGGAUCUGCUCCUAGUACGAGAGGACCAGAGUGGACGAACCUCUGGUGUACCGGUUGUGACGCCAGUCGCAUCGCCGGGUAGCUAUGUUCGGAAGGGAUAACCGCUGAAAGCAUCUAAGCGGGAAGCCUACCUCAAGAUAAGAUUUCCCUAGGACUUUAUGUCCUCUAAAGAGCCGUUGAAGACUACGACGUUGAUAGGUUGGAUGUGGAAGCAUAGUGAUAUGUGAAGCUGACCAAUACUAAUUGCUCGUGAGGCUUGACUAU